GCAAUACAAACCCUUAGAUUAGUUUAUCUAACGAUCACAACUCAUUUGUGCUUCUCUUCUUUGUUUCAUUCUCUCUCUCUCUCAUACCUCUUUCCCUUCCCCUUCCCCUUCCCCUUCCCCUUCGAGUUUUAAUCUUCUAUUCUUCUCAACUAUUAUUUCUUGAAGUUUGGAUAUUGAGCUUGAUUUAGCAAUCCGCCUUCGACUCGGCCUCUGGUGCCUUCAACACCUCCUCUGGCGCCUUCAAUUCCAGACUCUGCUGCUGCAUUUUAAAAAAGUAACGAGACUGUUGGGACAGGUGGGGAGAGCUUUCUCAGAGAUGAAAACGGCAACGAAGCUCAAGCACCACCGUCUUCAAUGCCAACAUAUUGUGAUGCUCCUCUGCCUGAUGACGAAGCCCAGAGACCGGACGUUUUUGAUUGGGUCGAGGUGAAGCUCUCCAAAUCCGCCUCUCAAGACUCUAACUCCACCGCGUCUCUGAAGAAGAGGACAGAGGAUGAAAUAGAAGAGGAGAGAAAAUGAAAAAGACCAACACCGGAUCUGACAAAGCUUUGGUGUGGAGAUGGCAGAGGAAGCCAAUGGUGGUGGUUGAGGUGGAGCCGAGCAAGAAGAAGAAGAUGAAGAGAGGUGGAGUAGGAGAGAAGUCAAGAGACACGACGGCUUAGUAGGUUUAGGUUUAGUUGUUUGGUUUAGUUUGGUUAACUUUGAUGUACCGGUUUUACAUUUGUAACAAUUUCGAUAUAUAAAUUUUUUUAAUUUUUAA
Long non-coding RNA from Brassica oleracea var. oleracea, 760 nucleotides. RefSeq lists it as uncharacterized. Lineage: Eukaryota; Viridiplantae; Streptophyta; Magnoliopsida; Brassicales; Brassicaceae. The record is from RefSeq and is a predicted model, not a curated record. The transcript is spliced from 2 exons.